This 92-nucleotide transfer RNA is filed under the name Gammaproteobacteria bacterium. RNAcentral's name for it is "tRNA-Ser". It matches the Rfam family "tRNA". From Rfam's summary of the family: Transfer RNA (tRNA) molecules are approximately 80 nucleotides in length. Lineage: Bacteria; Pseudomonadati; Pseudomonadota; Gammaproteobacteria. The record is from RNAcentral.
GGAGAGGUGGCCGAGCGGCUGAAGGCGCUCCCCUGCUAAGGGAGUAUGGGUGUUAAAGCCCAUCGAGGGUUCGAAUCCCUCCCUCUCCGCCA